UCGUUUAGGGAAACUAGAAGGUUAACUCCCCCCAUAACAUUGCGAGAGGGCAUCUGAUUGCAAUUAAAGUUUCGACGGUAUAUGAUUGAUGUGCGUUUGAUUAGCUUGUUGGUAGGGUAACGGCCUACCAAGGCGACGAUCAAUAGCUGGCGUGAGAGCGCGACCAGCCACACUGGAACUGAGACACGGUCCAGACUCCUACGGGAGGCAGCAGUAGGGAAUAUUGGACAAUGGGCGAAAGCCUGAUCCAGCCAUGCCGCGUGAUAGAUGAAGGCCCUCUGGGUUGUAAAUAUCUUUUAUCUGGGAAGAAACAAUCUUAUUCUUAAGAUCUUGACGGUACCAGAGGAAUAAGCACCGGCUAACUCCGUG
RNAcentral lists this ribosomal RNA (369 nucleotides) under uncultured bacterium. RNAcentral's name for it is "bacterial SSU rRNA". It matches the Rfam family "Bacterial small subunit ribosomal RNA", at positions 144 to 507 of the family's 1533-position model. The record is from RNAcentral.